Molecule: ribosomal RNA, 459 nt
Filed under: uncultured bacterium
Lineage: Bacteria
Description: partial 16S ribosomal RNA
Rfam family: Bacterial small subunit ribosomal RNA
Source: RNAcentral
CCUACGGGGGGCUGCAGUGAGGAAUAGUGGUCAAUGGCCGAGAGGCUGAACCAGCCAAGUCGCGUGAGGGAAGACGGCCCUACGGGUUGUAAACCUCUUUUGUCGGGGAGCAAAGAGAGGCACGUGUGACUCAUUGAGAGUACCCGAAGAAAAAGCAUCGGCUAACUCCGUGCCAGCAGCCGCGGUAAUACGGAGGAUGCGAGCGUUAUCCGGAUUUAUUGGGUUUAAAGGGUGCGCAGGCGGAGGUGCAAGUCAGCGGUCAACUUGCGGGGCUCAACCCCGUACUGCCGUUGAAACUGCAUCCCUUGAGUGCGCGAGCAGUAUGCGGAAUGCGUGGUGUCGCGGUGAAAUGCAUAGCUCUUAGGAGGCACACCAGUGGCGAAGGCGGCUUACUGGACUGUAACUGACGUUGCGGCUCGACUGCGUGGGGAGCACACAGGAUUAGAUACCCCUGUAGUC